This 505-nucleotide ribosomal RNA is filed under the name uncultured bacterium. Its description in RNAcentral is "bacterial SSU rRNA". It matches the Rfam family "Bacterial small subunit ribosomal RNA", at positions 114 to 606 of the family's 1533-position model. The record is from RNAcentral.
CACGUGGGUAACCUGCCCAAGAGACUGGGAUAACACCUGGAAACAGAUGCUAAUACCGGAUAACAACACUAGACGCAUGUCUAGAGUUUGAAAGAUGGUUCUGCUAUCACUCUUGGAUGGACCUGCGGUGCAUUAGCUAGUUGGUAAGGUAACGGCUUACCAAGGCAAUGAUGCAUAGCCGAGUUGAGAGACUGAUCGGCCACAUUGGGACUGAGACACGGCCCAAACUCCUACGGGAGGCAGCAGUAGGGAAUCUUCCACAAUGGACGGAAGUCUGAUGGAGCAACGCCGCGUGAGUGAAGAAGGGUUUCGGCUCGUAAAGCUCUGUUGGUAGUGAAGAAAGAUAGAGGUAGUAACUGGCCUUUAUUUGACGGUAAUUACUUAGAAAGUCACGGCUAACUACGUGCCAGCAGCCGCGGUAAUACGUAGGUGGCAAGCGUUGUCCGGAUUUAUUGGGCGUAAAGCGAGUGCAGGCGGUUCAAUAAGUCUGAUGUGAAAGCCUUCG